RNAcentral lists this ribosomal RNA (159 nucleotides) under Sporothrix uta. RNAcentral describes it as "5.8S ribosomal RNA". It matches the Rfam family "5.8S ribosomal RNA". From Rfam's summary of the family: 5.8S ribosomal RNA (5.8S rRNA) is a component of the large subunit of the eukaryotic ribosome. It is transcribed by RNA polymerase I as part of the 45S precursor that also contains 18S and 28S rRNA. Lineage: Eukaryota; Fungi; Ascomycota; Sordariomycetes; Ophiostomatales; Ophiostomataceae. The record is from RNAcentral.
AUCAAAACUUUCAACAACGGAUCUCUUGGCUCUGGCAUCGAUGAAGAACGCAGCGAAAUGCGAUACGUAAUGUGAAUUGCAGAAUUCAGCGAACCAUCGAAUCUUUGAACGCACAUUGCGCCCGCCAGUAUUCUGGCGGGCAUGCCUGUCCGAGCGUCA